This 895-nucleotide ribosomal RNA is filed under the name uncultured archaeon. Its description in RNAcentral is "bacterial SSU rRNA". It matches the Rfam family "Archaeal small subunit ribosomal RNA", at positions 4 to 879 of the family's 1478-position model. The record is from RNAcentral.
CCGGUUGAUCCUGCCGGACCCUACUGCUAUCGGGGUGGGACUAAGACAUGCGAGUCGAGCGUCUGCCAAUUGGAGACGCGACAGACGGCUCAGUAACACGUGGCUAACCUGCCCUCAGGCCGGAGACACCCCCGGGGCACUGGGGCGAAUAUCCGGUGGGCGAGGAGGCCUAGUAUGGCUCCUCGCCGAAACAGACGUUGAAAACAUGUUUUCAACGUCGCCUGAGGAUGGGGCCGCGUCCGAUCAGGUGGUUGGUGAGGUAAUGGCUCACCAAGCCUAUAACCGGUACGGGCCGUGAGAGCGGGAGCCCGGAGAUGGGUACUGAGACAAGGACCCAGGCCCUACGGGGCGCAGCAGUCGCGAAAACUCCGCAAUGCACGAAAGUGUGACGGGGCUACCCCGAGUGCCAUCCGCUGAGGAUGGCUUUUCCUUGGUAUAACUAGCCGGGGGAAUAAGGAGAGGGCAAGACUGGUGUCAGCCGCCGCGGUAAUACCAGCUCUCCGAGUGGUAGGGAUGAUUAUUGGGCUUAAAGCGUCCGUAGCCGGCUUAGCAAGUCUCCUGUUAAAUUCAACGACUUAAUCGUUGAGCCGCGGGAGAUACUACUAGGCUAGGAGGCGGGAGAGGUCGACGGUACUUCUGGGGUAGGGGUGAAAUCCUAUAAUCCCGGGAGGACCACCAGUGGCGAAGGCUGUCGACUAGAACGCGCUCGACGGUGAGGGACGAAAGCUGGGGGAGCGAACCGGAUUAGAUACCCGGGUAGUCCCAGCUGUAAACGAUGCGGGCUAGGUGUUGGAGUGGCUACGGGCCACUUCAGUGCCGCAGGGAAGCCAUUAAGCCCGCCGCCUGGGGAGUACGGCCGCAAGGCUGAAACUUAAAGGAAUUGGCGGGGGAGCAC